UUGGAUGGUUUUGAAAGUGAUGGCCUCAGUUUAUCUGGACAACAGGUGCAGUAGAAGUAGCAGCAGAGCAAGCUGCCUCGCGGAUCUCUGCAAGGGUACCUCAAGUCUGGCAAACAGGGACCACCUCAGGGGAUGAGAAGGGUGUUCAGGCUCCAUUCCCAUUCAGUGCUUGGCCUGU
Molecule: small RNA, 178 nt
Filed under: Chelonoidis abingdonii (Abingdon island giant tortoise)
Lineage: Eukaryota; Metazoa; Chordata; Testudines; Testudinidae
Description: TUC338 (ENSCABG00000016768.1)
Source: RNAcentral